Gossypium arboreum is the source of this 2281-nucleotide RNA transcript. It is a transcript of the gene named WAT1-related protein At3g28050-like, with no coding region annotated. Lineage: Eukaryota; Viridiplantae; Streptophyta; Magnoliopsida; Malvales; Malvaceae. The record is from RefSeq and is a predicted model, not a curated record. The transcript is spliced from 8 exons.
GCACGUGAUCAAAUAGUCCAUUUUUCCUGUCUUAAAAUUACAUUUUAGUGUCUACCUUUUGUCCGUACUCCGUUGCAAUCCCGAUGAUAAAAGUGAAACUCAGAAAGAGAAAAUUAUUUUUAUUUGUACCAGCGACUUAAGUCAACCACCAACUCCCAGCGAUCAGGAGAGAAAGAAGAGAUGAAAGUGAAGUCGUGGUUAGUUGAAUCGGCGCCAUUUGCAGCCAUGGUGGCUGUGGAGUGCCUGGAUGUUGGCUUAUCCACCCUCAGCAAAGCUGCCAUGUCCAAAGGAAUGAGCCACUUUGUCCUUGUCGUCUACUCAAAUGCUCUGGCUUCCCUCAUUCUUCUUCCAGCGGCUUUUUUCUUCACAAGGAAAAAGCGGCCACCAAUUACUUUAUCUUUUCUGUGCAAAAUUUUCUGCUUAAGCAUUGCUGGGAUCACUUUGAUGCAGAACUGUGUAAUCACCGGUGUAAGUUACAGCUCUCCAACCCUUGCUUCUGCUCUUGCCAACUUAAUCCCAGCUUUCACUUUCUUGCUUGCUGUUAUCUUCAGGAUGGAAAAGCUAGAGUUGAAAAGCCCAAAGAGUCAGAUCAAAGUGUUGGGCACCUUGGUAUCCAUUUCUGGAGCGUUCAUUAUGACCCUUUACAAGGGUCCUCCAGUACUUUCCCCACCAAUUCAACCGCAUUUACACCCAUCUCCUUCUACCAUGUUAACAACAUCUAACAAUUGGCUCAUAGGUGGCCUCUUCAUCGCUACUGCCUCUUUGUCACUUUCAGCAAACAUCGUUGGUCAGGCUGCGGUUCUGAAAGGGUAUCCAUCGGAGAUAACGUUGGUUUCCUUCUAUUGCCUCUUUGGGACCAUUCAAUCUGCAUUGGUUACUUUGAUUUUUGAAAGAGACCCCAACGCUUGGAUGUUGAGUCCAGAUAUCGAGCUCAUUUCUGUGGUCUACUCAGCUUUAUUUGGAAAUGUGGUAACAUUCGGCGUGCAAGCAUGGUGCAUUCGGCGUAAAGGGCCGGUCUUUGUGGCCAUGUUCAAGCCCUUAAGUAUUGCUAUUGCUGCCUUCUUGGGGUUCAUUUUCCUUGGUGAAACGCUUUAUAUUGGCAGGAAAAAUAUGACGGAUGAUUCAAAGAUGGAGGAGCAACCACCCAUUUAUAGUAGUACAAAAUCUCCACAACUUUGUAUUCUUUAGACGUGAGAUUGUGUUAUUUCAAUAAGUUGAUUAUUAUAAAGGGAUGUACUAAAGUUGAACACAAUAAUAGGCUACAAAUAGACGACCAGUUGAUUUCACAAGAGAUACUCUAAACAAAAAUUCCUUAACUUGGACAUAAAAUCAAAGGAACUUUUGACAGAAACAUUGUGUAAAUUGGUCUGAAUUUUGUGGAACUAUUCAUUUAAGCCAAAGAGCUUCUUACAAUGAUGUUUAUUCUCUAUCCGCAUCAUUUACUGCUUAUGUUUAAAGGCUCUAGCGAGGCUCAUAGUUGUGACUAAAUCAGGGGUUUAUGCAUUUGAGCAUUUAAUCGGAUGGAAUCAUCUAAUCCAGCCAUAAAUAGCCUAACAUGUUGUUUUGCCCGAAUGUACUGACUAGCUUGUCUUAAUUUUUAUCGCAAUUGUCAAUGAUAAAGCUCUACCCUUCCUAUCUGUUUCAAACUAACCAAAUCUCCCAAGCGGAAGGACCAAAACAGAGGGAGCAAUAAUUGCUGAAUUAUAAUCAUUUCAGCACACCCCUCUAACUUAAUCUGAAAAAUAUCAAAGUUGUGCCUCAUCCAGCAUGUGGAAGGUUGCCAAACUUUAUCUACCUCAGUCCUGUGUUGAUUUUCGAAAAACUAUUCACACCGAUGCAAGCCAAAUCAAAGGAUCUUCCGAUCGAUCAAACUAAUAUCAUUACUUGGGAAUAGUUUUUUCAAGUGGCGAAAUUGCCCCACUCGGGGGUGUUUCCGUCACGCCUCCUCCAACAGCUGAUGGGAGAUGGGAAGUAUUAAAUCACCCUUCAAAGGACUACGUACGUGUUGGCUGAAACCUACGCACACAACCCGAAUAAGUAAACAUGCAAUGUAUUGUGGGAGCAGCCAUAAUUGUAACGGGCUUUUAUGGGGUGAUAUGGGCACAGUCGGACAAGGAAGAAGUGGGCAAGACAACAACCACCCCCCUCUUAGAUGGACAUGAUGCAGAUGCCUAAAUGAUUAAAUUUCUAUUCUUUUUAAAAUGAUACAUUCAUGAAAUUUUAUGGGUUAGAGCAAAUAUUUUAUUAAUUUUGUGUGUGCUAAUUUAAAAGAUCAAAAUAA